UGGGGAAUAUUGCACAAUGGGCGCAAGCCUGAUGCAGCCAUGCCGCGUGUAUGAAGAAGGCCUUCGGGUUGUAAAGUACUUUCAGCGGGGAGGAAGGGAGUAAAGUUAAUACCUUUGCUCAUUGACGUUACCCGCAGAAGAAGCACCGGCUAACUCCGUGCCAGCAGCCGCGGUAGUACGGAGGGUGCAAGCGUUAAUCGGAAUUACUGGGCGUAAAGCGCACGCAGGCGGUUUGUUAAGUCAGAUGUGAAAUCCCCGGGCUCAACCUGGGAACUGCAUCUGAUACUGGCAAGCUUGAGUCUCGUAGAGGGGGGUAGAAUUCCGGGUGUAGCGGUGAAAUGCGUAGAGAUCUGGAGGAAUACCGGUGGCGAAGGCGGCCCCCUGGACGAAGACUGACGCUCAGGUGCGAAAGCGUGGGGAGCAAACAGG
This 429-nucleotide ribosomal RNA is filed under the name Chloroflexota bacterium. RNAcentral describes it as "Chloroflexi bacterium partial 16S ribosomal RNA". It matches the Rfam family "Bacterial small subunit ribosomal RNA", at positions 355 to 776 of the family's 1533-position model. Lineage: Bacteria; Bacillati; Chloroflexota. The record is from RNAcentral.